Lytechinus pictus (painted urchin) is the source of this 5908-nucleotide RNA transcript. RefSeq lists it as uncharacterized. The transcript has 9 exons. The record is from RefSeq and is a predicted model, not a curated record. Lineage: Eukaryota; Metazoa; Echinodermata; Echinoidea; Temnopleuroida; Toxopneustidae.
AAAAUUAAGAAAAGGAGAGCAGGUGAAACCCCUGGAAAAGGAGAACAGGUGAAACCCUUGAACAGGAGAUUAGGUGAAACCCCUAAAAAAAAAAAUUGUUCAAAAAAAAGGAGAGCAGGUGAAACCCCUGGAAAAAAAAAAAGAUAAAAAAUUUAAAAAAAGGAGAGCAGGUGAAACCCCUGGAAAAGGAGAACAGGUGAAACCCUUGAACAGGAGAUUAGGUGAAACCCCUAAAAAAAAAAAUUGUUCAAAAAAAAGGAGAGCAGGUGAAACCCCUGGAAAAAAAAAAAGAUAAAAAAUUUAAAAAAAGGAGAGCAGGUGAAACCCCUGGAAAAGGAGAACAGGUGAAACCCUUGAACAGGAGAUUAGGUGAAACCCCUAAAAAAAAAAAUUGUUCAAAAAAAAGGAGAGCAGGUGAAACCCCUGGAAAAAAAAAAAGAUAAAAAAUUUAAAAAAAGGAGAGCAGGUGAAACCCCUGGAAAAGGAGAACAGGUGAAACCCUUGAACAGGAGAUUAGGUGAAACCCCUAAAAAAAAAAAUUGUUCAAAAAAAAGGAGAACAGGUGAAACCCCUGAACAGGAGAUCAGGUGAAACCCCUGAAACAAAUCCGUCUAUCACACAAUUCAAGACAGUAGACCUUGCACCUUGCACGAAAGCUUGGUUGAGUAAAAAAGAAUUGUGGGUAGCAAACUAAAAAAUUUUUAAAAGGAGAACAGGUGAAACCCCUGAACAGGAGAUCAGGUGAAACCCCUGAAACAAAUCAGUCUAUCACACAAUUCAAGACAGUAGACCUUGCACCUUGCACGAAAGCUUGGUUGAGUAAAAAAGAAUUGUGGGUAGCAAACUAAAAAAUUUUAAAAAGGAGAACAGGUGAAACCCCUGAACAGGAGAUCAGGUGAAACCCCUGAAACAAAUCAGUCUAUCACACAAUUCAAGACAGUAGACCUUGCACCUUGCACGAAAGCUUGGUUGAGUCAAAAAGAAUUGUGGGUAGCAAACGGAAAAAAUAAAAAAAAGGAGAACAGGUGAGACCCCUGAACAGGAGAUCAGGUGAAACCCCUGAAACAAAUCAGUCUAUCACACAAUUCAAGACAGUAGACCUUGCACCUUGCACCUUGCACGAAAGCUUGGUUGAGUAAAAAAGAAUUGUGGGUAGCAAACUAAAAAAUUUAAAAAAGGAGAACAGGUGAAACCCCUGAACAGGAGAUCAGGUGAAACCCCUGAAACAAAUCAGUCUAUCACACAAUUCAAGACAGUAGACCUUGCACCUUGCACGAAAGCUUGGUUGAGUCAAAAAGAAUUGUGGGUAGCAAACGAAAAAAAUAAAAAAAGGAGAACAGGUGAGACCCCUGAACAGGAGAUCAGGUGAAACCCCUGAAACAAAUCAGUCUAUCACACAAUUCAAGACAGUAGACCUUGCACCUUGCACGAAAGCUUGGUUGAGUCAAAAAGAAUUGUGGGUAGCAAACGAAAAAAAUAAAAAAAAGGAGAACAGGUGAGACCCCUGAACAGGCGCACAGGUGAAACCCACUGUAAAACCGGCGAAGAGGUGAAACCCCUCAACAAGCACACAGGUGAAACUCCUGUUAAGUUAGUAAAAAAAGGAGAACAGGUGAAACCCCUGAAACCAAGAAAGUCUACCCCACAAUUCACGACAGUAGACCUUGCACCUUGCACGAAAGCUUGGUUGAGUCAAAGAGAAUUGUGAGGACUGGUAGCAAAAAACUAGUUAACGAGAUAAACGAGAUAACGAGAUAACGAGAUUAACAAGAAUAACGAUAAAAACAAAUAAAAUAACAAGAAAAACAAAAACAAAAAAAAUUAAAAAAGAAAGCGGAGAACAGGUGAAACCCCUGAAAAGGAGAUGAGGUGAAACCCCCCAAACAAAGCAAAAACAAAAACAAAACAGAAGAAAAAAGAGAAAAUAAAGACGUGUACUUCAUUAUUUGACUGUAAAGUGUUUCUUUCUUAUGAGUUUGAAAAAUUACAAAGAGAGUGAAUAAAAUUGGAGUCAAGAGGACAAGUGGUGUUGAGUAAUCUGAAAGAGUUUAUUUUACUAAGGUUAUUUUUCUUUUAGGAUAGCAGAGUGAGGAAUAUAUAAUUAAGAGAAUAACAUUCAGAAGUUUAGAGACUCUCAAGAGAAAGAAGUGAGUAAUAAAUUAUAUAUACUGAAAAAGGAGACGAGAAUUUAUAUCCAAUUAAGUCUAGAGAUACAGCUGGGCUUGAAUCGUUGAGGAAAGAGUAUUUGAUUAUUUACAGAGUUUUUAGAGGGAAAAAAAGGUGAGGAGAAUUGAAGUAAUAGGAGUAAGUUGUAAUUACAAGUUAGCUUGAGUGGUUGUGAAGAAAAUAUUGAUUAAAAAGUGUUUAGAUUGAAAGUAAAGAUGUGAGCUUGAUUAGGUAGAGUAUUGUGAAUAAAAUUGAAGUCUAGGAAACAAGGUUGAGAAGUACUAGUGGACUUAAUAAUUUCAGAGGAUAUUUGAUCAAAUAUAUUUCUUAUUUAAGGAAGAAAUAAGGCUGGUUAAUCAGAAAAUAAGUGAUCAAAAUUGUGCUAAGAGACAAAAGGCUAGAGGUUUACAACUUUUGCAAACAAGAAAAAAAGUGGCCUUGAUAUAUUAUAAACACAGUUUGUAAAUUGAGAAUAAUUGAAGCUUAUGAGAUCCAGAUAAACAAGUAGGCUCGAGUAGUUCCAGAGAGGGUAUUUUAUCAUUUGCAGAGUUUGAUGAAAAGAAGCACACCUGAUAUAAAAGAAUAAGGCUCAGAAGUUCAUAGAUUCAUAAGAAAGAAGUGACUGAUGAACUAUACUGAAAAAAGAUAUGAGCCUCUAAUGGAAGCAGAUGAUGAUGAUGAUGAUGAUGAUGACAAUAGCAAUAAGAACAUCAAAACCUUCAAGCAGACAAGGCAAGUUAAGGGAGCAAGGAAGAGAUUCUGCUAAGCACUCCAACCGAAGAACGUGUAAUAUUCUGGGAAAGAUGAAGGAUUUGAGACGGUACAGAGUUCAUGCAGGAGGCAAACAAAGGAACAAGAAAGGUCAGCCGACGUACCAUGAUAGAAGGGAAGAGAGGAUAACAUUAGGACGUUAUCUGCUGAACCGAUUGAUGCAUGUUGACAACAGAUGUCAAAAGGGAGGAGAAUGUUUAUCUGAUAUCUUAGAAAAGCAAGAAGGAAAGAAUAAAGGGUACCAACAAGAACCCAAACACCAACAAUGUGAUAACUCCUCUUGGGGAUUACUGCCUGACUUGCGGUUAUUAGACCGCUUUUCAUCUAAUGAUUUGGGACCAUGUAGGAGUGUGCAUAGUGUACAAAGCCAUUCAUUUAUGCAGUUUCACUCCAUUGGAGUUCGAAUGUUCAUUGUUGAUGGAACUAGCUGGAUUGUGAUGAUUUCUGGGUUUUCUACGAAGAUUGCAGUGUUGGGUACCGGAAUCUGACCCUAGAAAGUGAUUGUUUUGGUCCUUGGUAUGGUUUUUAACCUGUAUCUGCCCUAGUCGGAGGUUUUUUCUUUUCCAAUUUGUUAUAUACUGAACAACUGUUGUGCUCAAGUGGGAAAUUAAAUUCCGCUCACAACCUACAACUCUCGUCGUAUCGUGUCUUGUGUUCUGGAGUGUCCUGACAACUUCCCCCAAAAAUCCAGAAUACUACAUUAUGUCAGUUCAAAGUUUUUCUGUAUUCAGCAAAACAGUUGUAUACACAUCAUGCUUUGUAUGCAAUUUAGAAAGUGAUGACAUCAAGUCACUAUUUCUUUUGUAUUUUUAUUAAAUAAAAUAUGAAAUAUUUCAUUUUUUUCCUCCUUAGAAAACAAACCAAGUUUGAUUCUAUUCUCACAUUCUUCAUAAACCAUUGAUAAAACCUGUUGUGAAGAAAUUAAGUGUAUCUGUGUUAUCAUAUUUUCAAAAACAUGAAAUUUGGUAUGAUUUAUGUAAUAAAAUGCAAAAAAAGUAGUGAGUAUGUGACAUCAUCAACUCAUUGAUUUGGACAUGACCACGAUUUGGUUAUAACUGUUUUGUAUAAGAUAACCAAUAUUUUAAAAUUACAUUACUUUCUUAUUUUCCAUGCAAUUUGUAUUAAGUGUGUGACAUAAUGUUUCCUAGAUUGUCCUCUUUUGGUUCAAAUCAAUUUUUGUUGGGGGUGGACUACUCCUUUAAGGAAAGUGUCUUAAAUUGGUUACUUAUGUUACAUUUUUGUAUUGUUUUAUAUUAUCCAUUUACUACUGUUUUAUUUGUCACUGCACUUGAGUGUUUCGUGAUUACCAAUGUAUUCAGAUAAUUGGAAAUUCAGUUUUGCUGUUGUGAUUCUUUUGUGAAAUGGUGAUUGAAUGUAAAAAAGAAAAUUUGCAUCCAUUUUAGAUUUCAGUUCAUAUGUCUGCCUUUUGGAGAAACAGUUACCUGACUAGAUUUCAAAGUGUGAAGAUUGAAGGUCUAUAGUGUUUUUUUGUUCAUGGAAAUAGAAAGUAAGAAAUAUUUUUCUGGUCGGGCAGUGGCGGAGGCAUACAUUUUGACCGUGCACAGUCGAGAUUUAUCUAGUUUUCAAUGAGAAUUGUGGCAACAUCAUUUUAAUCACCAAAAAACAUAGAUUGUUUUGACUGAGUAAAAGUAGAAAUAAUGACACAUUUAUGAAUUUUGGGAGAAAAGUUUAUUUGAUUUGUUUUGAUCAUUACAGCAUUUUAAAGCCUGACAGUCAUUUACAUAAUAUUGCAUAACUUGAGAACCACAUAUAUGAAUUUGAUAUGGAACAAUGUGCAAAGCUUGUAUGUAAAUUGUGUUGAACCACUGUGUUGAUGAGUUCUCAACAUUGUCAGUUUUCACAGUUGAUUUAACACCACAAAAAAUUAAGCCAGUUAUAUUUAAAGAGAUCUUCAUUACCAAUUGACCUGCGUGAAUGGUAAAACAUCCCACUAUUCAUAAAGGAAAGUUAUUAUUUUAGUUUCUCUUUAUACAUCAGUAACUGACAUUGUCUAAAGCAAGCUAAAGAAUUUUUAUUCCUCUGCUCAUCAAAAGUGGUUGCCGGUGGCAUUAUGUUUUGGAUUAUCCGUCUGUUCGUCCAUCCGUUCAUCUGUCUGUUCAUUCCAUUUUUGUUCUCGCAGUAACUCAAAAACCAUUUCACAGAUCAACUUCAACUUGGACCAUAUAUGCAUUAGGUGCUCAAAAUGAUUUCACACAUGCGUAUGCAUGUAUGUAUCGUUAGAAAAAAAUUAAUAUUCAUAUUCUGUUGGUACAUGAUCUCAUUAUUUAGGGUUAACAGAUCAAGGUCAAGGUCAGAAAGUUCAAGCAAGUACAUAAUAAAUACUCUGUUCUUGCUACAACUCAAAAACAGUUUCAUGGAUUCACUUGAAACUUGAAUCCUGUAUGGAAUGGCGGUGAAGAAGAUCUCAUCAGUUUAAAGGUCAUGAGGUCAGAGGUCAAGUUCACAAAAUUAAAAAAAAAUAGAUAAAAAUACUCAUUUUUACUUUUACAAUUUUGUAGAUCAUCUUGUAACUUUGAUUGUGUAUGCAUCUGUAAUGAAUUUUUGCUUUUCGCUUAAUGGACUUUUUGCAAAAAAUAUCAAACAACAAAAAUGGUCUACUCCACCAGGCCCCCCCCCCCCCCUCUUCCCAGUGAAUUGUUAAACUAAGCAUCACUUUUCUGUUUAGAUGCAGUAUUUUGCAAUAAUACAUUAUAUGAAUGAAACUUUAUGUAUGUAGUCUGUGUAUGUAUUUAGGAUCCCUAUGAUAUUGGAAUAACAAUGUAAGCCCAAGCCUUCAGGGCUUUGGGUAACAGUUAAAAUGCUGUGAACCUUUUAAUUUGAUUAUUAUGAAUUAUUUGUUGAUCAUUGUUAUUGUAUUUAUAUUUUCUUUUUUAUGUUCAGAAAUCUGUCAUUAUCUUUUAUGGCUUUUGAUUGUACAAAUAAAGAUAGAAAAUAAAAAUACUAAAGAGUA